Molecule: ribosomal RNA, 329 nt
Filed under: uncultured eukaryote
Lineage: Eukaryota
Description: partial 18S ribosomal RNA
Rfam family: Eukaryotic small subunit ribosomal RNA
Source: RNAcentral
CCCUUAGAUGUUCUGGGCCGCACGCGCGCUACACUGAUGCAUUCAACGAGUCUAAAACCUGCUCUGAUAGGGGUGGGUAAUCUUUUGAAUGUGCAUCGUGAUUGGGAUAGAUGAUUGCAAUUUUUCAUCUUCAACGAGGAAUGCCUAGUAAGCGCAAGUCAUCAGCUUGCGUUGAUUACGUCCCUGCCCUUUGUACACACCGCCCGUCGCUCCUACCGAUUGAAUGGUCCGGUGAAGCGCUCGGACCGCGGCCUCUUGACGGUUCGCUGUCGAUUGGCUGUGGGAAGUUCGUUAAACCUUAUCAUUUAGAGGAAGGAGAAGUCGUAACA